GUAGUCCACGCUGUAAACGAUGAAUGCUAGGUGUAGGAGGUAUCGACCCCUUCUGUGCCGGAGUUAACACAAUAAGCAUUCCGCCUGGGGAGUACGGCCGCAAGGUUGAAACUCAAAGGAAUUGACGGGGGCCCGCACAAGCAGCGGAGCAUGUGGUUUAAUUCGAAGCAACGCGAAGAACCUUACCAGGUCUUGACAUCCAGUAAAAGCACAGGAGACUGUGUGUGAGCUUGCUCAUACUGAGACAGGUGGUGCAUGGUUGUCGUCAGCUCGUGUCGUGAGAUGUUGGGUUAAGUCCCGCAACGAGCGCAACCCUUAUAUUUAGUUACUAACGCGUAGAGGCGAGGACUCUAGAUAGACUGCCGGGGACAACUCGGA
Molecule: ribosomal RNA, 378 nt
Filed under: uncultured bacterium
Lineage: Bacteria
Description: bacterial SSU rRNA
Rfam family: Bacterial small subunit ribosomal RNA
Source: RNAcentral